CCUACGGGAGGCAGCAGUGGGGAAUAUUGCACAAUGGGGGAAACCCUGAUGCAGCGACGCCGCGUGAGUGAAGAAGUAUUUCGGUACGUAAAGCUCUAUCAGCAGGGAAGAAAAUGACGGUACCUGACUAAGAAGCCCCGGCUAACUACGUGCCAGCAGCCGCGGUAAUACGUAGGGGGCAAGCGUUAUCCGGAUUUACUGGGUGUAAAGGGAGCGUAGACGGCAGCGCAAGUCUGGAGUGAAAUCCCAUGGCUUAACCAUGGAACUGCUUUGGAAACUGUGCAGCUAGAGUGCAGGAGAGGUAAGCGGAAUUCCUAGUGUAGCGGUGAAAUGCGUAGAUAUUAGGAGGAACACCAGUGGCGAAGGCGGCUUACUGGACUGUAACUGACGUUGAGGCUCGAAAGCGUGGGGAGCAAACAGGAUUAGAUACCCGGAUAGUC
This 440-nucleotide ribosomal RNA is filed under the name uncultured bacterium. RNAcentral describes it as "partial 16S ribosomal RNA". It matches the Rfam family "Bacterial small subunit ribosomal RNA", at positions 338 to 795 of the family's 1533-position model. The record is from RNAcentral.